RNAcentral lists this ribosomal RNA (497 nucleotides) under uncultured bacterium. Its description in RNAcentral is "partial 16S ribosomal RNA". It matches the Rfam family "Bacterial small subunit ribosomal RNA", at positions 28 to 507 of the family's 1533-position model. The record is from RNAcentral.
GAUGAACGCUGGCGGCGUGCCUAAUACAUGCAAGUCGAGCGAACAGACGAGGAGCUUGCUCCUCUGACGUUAGCGGCGGACGGGUGAGUAACACGUGGAUAACCUACCUAUAAGACUGGGAUAACUUCGGGAAACCGGAGCUAAUACCGGAUAAUAUAUUGAACCGCAUGGUUCAAUAGUGAAAGACGGUUUUGCUGUCACUUAUAGAUGUAUCCGCGCGGCAUUAGCUAGUUGGUAAGGUAACGGCUUACCAAGGCAACGAUGCGUAGCCGACCUGAGAGGGUGAUCGGCCACACUGGAACUGAGACACGGUCCAGACUCCUACGGGAGGCAGCAGUAGGGAAUCUUCCGCAAUGGGCGAAAGCUUGACGGAGCAACGCCGCGUGAGUGAUGAAGGUCUUCGGAUCGUAAAACUCUGUUAUUAGGGAAGAACAAAUGUGUAAGUAACUAUGCACGUCUUGACGGUACCUAAUCAGAAAGCCACGGCUAACUACGUG